This 76-nucleotide transfer RNA is filed under the name Sphaerodactylus townsendi. Its description in RNAcentral is "tRNA-Val". It matches the Rfam family "tRNA". Rfam says of the family: Transfer RNA (tRNA) molecules are approximately 80 nucleotides in length. Their secondary structure includes four short double-helical elements and three loops (D, anti-codon, and T loops). Lineage: Eukaryota; Metazoa; Chordata; Lepidosauria; Squamata; Sphaerodactylidae. The record is from RNAcentral.
GGAAGGAGCUAUGGCUCAGUGGUAGAACAGGUGCUUCACAUGUAGAAGGUUCCAGGUUCAUUCCCUGGUCUCUCCA